Long non-coding RNA from Pezoporus occidentalis (night parrot), 3754 nucleotides. RefSeq lists it as uncharacterized. The transcript has 2 exons. The record is from RefSeq and is a predicted model, not a curated record. Lineage: Eukaryota; Metazoa; Chordata; Aves; Psittaciformes; Psittacidae.
UAUGCAGUGCCAUACUUGACAGUGUUUAAUCUUUUCAUAACUCUCUUCAGACAGACAGGUUCACUCACCUCCUUUUUACAAAAGCUUGUGGUUGCCAAGUUAGCUGUCGCAUCCCCUUUCACAGUGGUUUUCAAUUUCAGUGCCUAAUGCAAACAGAUGUUUUAUUUAAAUUGAGUUUCUGUCAGCAAUACCCAAGCUAAAUACUAUAAAGAAAGGACAGUUUGGGACCACAGAGUAGCUUCAGUUUGAAAUUCUUGUCACAUUUCAAGUAACUGGGGAAGAAACAGAAUUCUGUAUAUCCUGAACAAAGUCUAUAUGAAAUACUAGAGGGCUGCUAGAUACCUUCUCAGCCAAAAUACACAUUGGUUGGGGUUUGGUUUGGUGUUUUUUUUUUGUCUUUAACUUCUGUAAAGUAAUUAGUAAACUUGGGGAAUAAAUUAUUGGUUACUUUUAUCCGAACAUUACAGUUACUCAGUUCUUUUUCCUACAUCUUCCAGGAGUGACCAGCUGGGGAAAGGGUGAGCAAAGCACAGAGUAGACUGAGAUUUCUUUUUUACCAGCUCUCAACCAUGUGGGGCCAUUACCCGGAUCUGGAACUUGUCAGAUUCUUCCACUCUUUAGCUUACUAACUCAGAUUCCAAAAAUGGGAGGGAAAGGAGGAGGCCUGGGUUUUGGUGAUGGUGUGGGGGUUUUUUGUUUGUUUUGUUUCAUUUAUUCUGUUUUGGUUUCCUGCUCUGUUAAAUCCUGAGUACCCUUAAGAUAAGCAGCAGAAUCAUGUCAUCAGUCCAGGAUCAAGAAGAGACAAGCAGGAAAGGACAGGGAAACGGAUGAGAGUAGACACUGUCUUUCUUUCUGCUGCAAUGAAGCAUCAGAUUAAACAAGACUAAAUCAUGAUGAAGUUUUACUCCUCACUGAGUCAAAAUGUCAGUAAGCCCAUGGAAGACCGGAGCCAGCAUCAGGUAUGUUCAAAGCUGUGUGGUAAUCUCUGACUUAGCAAAUAGACUGUUGAAACAUCUUCCUGGCUGAAGUAGAGCAAAUAAUUUCUAAGAAAUUCAACCUUAAUAAAAUACAUAGAGGAAAUCCAUGAAACGUUAUGCUUCUCCAAAGCACAGAAAAAGACAGAGCUGCUUGGAGACAGAAAGCAUAUGCUGCACAAAAUACAGAAAGACCUUUUAGGUUUGAUCCUAAGCACCAGAUGACUACCCACAGAAGGGAUCAGCACCGCUAUUACCAAUUUGACUACAGAUUUGGCAUGACUCAAUUAUAACAAUAAUCAGGUAAGACAGCUGGAGUGUAGCUUCUUUACCUCUCCCCAGUUCUGUUUUCCUACAGUAAGUUUAUGUAUUUUCAUUAGAGCCUUGUCUAGCUUCAUUAGAGCGACAUUAUUUUAACUGCUGAUAUACUGCUACUUUCACAGUAGAGGAGGAAUUUAGAUACUAAAAAAAUGAAGGGCCAACUUAAUCUUAAAAUUUGAAGAAAAUAUAGAAUAAGUGAUAGAUUCUAGGGAACAGCUCUCCAUAUCCUUAUUCUAACUACUUCUUUUUAAUUUUAAACCUUCUCCCACUGUUCUAAGGCACAUACACAUAAAAUCACAUAUAUACAUAAGUACACGCACAAGCAUGCACACAGUUUUUAACCAUGUAACUGCAAGUACUUCAUAAAAUACUAUCCUAAUAUUUUGCCAUCUUCAGCUCAUAAGAGGAAAAACGCUCAAAUGGAGGUAAGCACAAUAUUUAUAUGCUUCCUGUCCCAUUAUGAUGAAAUAUUCAUGAACAAGGUAGUAAAAAGAUUUCCUAGCGCAGGUCAAUAUAUCUAUACUGAAGCUUCCUUUUAUUACCCUCUAACUUUCAAGUCCAGCUUAGAAAGCACAUUUUUCUGAACUAGAUCCAGUUUUUUACCUGGAAAUGAAAAGGAUCUGAGCUCUGCAUUAUAAGCUGCUAAAAUCAAAGGACAAGCUGUAUAAACUUACAAGCUCCACAGAUCCGUAAUGCUUUCUGCUAAACUCUCCACGUCUGCAACCCAGAUCUUCAGAGACAGAGCUGGAAUAGAAACACUUCAUAAGUGUACACAAGCAACUUGCCUUCCAUCUCCUGCAACGCUAUACCCUGCCAUUAACAAAUAUCAUUCCUGCAGAACAAGGUUUGCAGUGCAUAAACUCAUUACUGCAGGGAACACUCCUUACAAUGUGCACAACCUCCAGCAGCCAUUGCAGUCUGGCUUUCAUAUUAUCCCCAGAAGAAAAGAAAUGUCUGUCCUGACUGGAGGAAAAAGCCAAGAUUAAAUUCAAUAUUUAGUCAUAAUUUGAUUAGAGUUCCAAAGCAGAUGGUGGCUUAUAACCACAUUUGAAAUCUGCAUUUAAUCUAAGGGAAGCAGAACCAAUAAUAAACUUAAUGCCUCAAACAGGACAACUGCACUAUGCUCAAUAACCCCAUGCUUAGUACUUUGCUACUGUUUUCUUUUCCGAGUCUUUUUUUUGGACUACACACAAAGAUAAACUACACAACUACUUUAAUUCAAAAACAUAAGGAAAGCAUUUCAUAGGUUUCCCCCACCAAACUUAACAAAGAUAAAAUUGUCAGCAAGUAAAAGUAAUCCUACCAUAUGAAGUUCAAAAUCUACAUGCAUUAUCACAUAUAAUCUCAUACCUUCACAUGACAUUAAGGACAUCACUUCAUGAGGUCAAAACGGAUAGCAAACACCUCCUCUAACUAUAAACACUAAGCCUCCUGCCUUUGCAAUGGGCAUAUAUGUGUUACAACUACAAGCUGAAUAAAGAUUCAGAUGCAAAUUUAACAGAAACAAUUUAACAGAAACAAAAUGAGAAGAGAAACAGGAUUAAAAACUUAGAGAUAUAUAAAUUAAAAAUGGCCAGGCAGUUCCCAUGAGUAAGGCUACUUCAGGUUGCUCCCUGAAAAACAACAUGCCCCAAAGACGGAAUUUGCAAAGUUUGUGGCAUCUGCAUCACGUUUGUGACACUGAGGAUCUUCAGAGCCUUAUCAAUUGGAUAAAACAACCUUAACAGAGACCAGUGGAAGAAGCUAUUCUGAAGUCAGGAAGUCUGAGCAUCCAGAAGCAGGUUCAAAUCUUAAGUGAUCACACCACAAGGACUUCAUGUCCAGUACUUCUAUACACCAGCCACUACUGCUGCUGGGCCCUUGAGUGAACAUUACCAUGUAAUCAUGCCACGGUGUUGCACAGCUGUGACACUGUAGGUUUUCUAUUCUUUUUUAACUCUUACAGGAAAAUCAAGUAAUCGUGGUAGUGCCAGCUUUUUUUCUAUGUGCUACUUUUGUUCUACACAAUUCCUUUUUAUGGGUAGGUGUGCUAGUUACCUUAGAAACCACUGUUUAAGCAAUUCCAAUCAAUGAACACUUGUCACCCUCAGUACUGGUGGCAGAAUGCUAUGGAAACAGCAGUCAAGAGAGAUAUUGCUGAUGAUGUCUGAAAUUCAGCCUUUGAUCAAAUGAAGAAAUGGAUGUAAGAUGACAAUUUAAGGAGUGUGAAAGAAAAAGAAAAAUAUCAAAAUUUAAUAAUCCAACAACAGUCACUAGCACAACAAAUCUCCUCAGGCCUUGGGAAAGCCAGGUCACUGUUGCGUGUGUCUGUAUCUGGACAGCUCCACACACAAACAUAAAACAAGUUAGAAAGUCACCACAAAGAGCAUCUGGCCUGCUGUGUUUUGAACAGAACCAUCUCUGCCUGGAUAACUUUGAGAGACAUUAAUCAGUCAUGUGAUGGCUUCACAAAGCAGAAG